Molecule: non-coding RNA, 564 nt
Organism: Hipposideros armiger (great roundleaf bat)
Lineage: Eukaryota; Metazoa; Chordata; Mammalia; Chiroptera; Hipposideridae
Source: the annotation of a RefSeq genome assembly
CCCUAACCUGUGAACCUCCCAUUCCUGUCCUGACCCUGCCAUGGGCUCCAGGCUCCUCUGCUGGGUGACCCUCUGUCUCCUGGGGACAGGUCACACAGAUACUGAAGUCUCCCAGUCCCCCAGGCACAGGGUCACAGAGAGGGGCCAGGAUGUAUCUCUCAGCUGUGAUCCAAUUUCCGGUCAUACUGCCCUGUACUGGUACCGACAGACCCUGGGGCAGGGCCCAGAGUUUUUGAUGUACUUCCAAAACGAGAAAGCCGUGGACACAUCAGGGAUGCCUGAUGAUCGGUUCUCUGCUGAGAAGACACAGGGCUCGUCCUUCACCCUGAAGAUCCGGCGUGCAGAGCAGAGGGACUCGGCCGUGUAUCUCUGUGCCAGCAGCUUAGCCACAGCAUGGCACUGUCACCUCCUUCCUGCUCACAAACACUCAUGUGCUCACCUCUCCUCCUAGUUCCCAGAACCCCCAGAGGAGUUGCCCUGUUCUUCCUGAGUCAAGGGGUCUAAGAGCCCUUGGGACUCCUACUGUUCUUCUGACAGUGUGAGCUCAGGAAAGAACCUUUGAAA